CCCGGGGGCAUCCGAACCCUAGAAAGCUUCCUUCCCCAGACAAGGGAGCUCUCGCCACACCCAGCAGAGCUUUUUGGAGAAAGUCCAGUUUGGACAGGCUGAUGAGCAGCACCCUACUCACCAAGUCCUGGGAGGGACAACACAGGUGGGAAGGCCUUCCUACUCCUACGUGCUUCGCUGCAAAGAGACCUGAAGUCAUAAAAGUGGAUCAAGGGAGCCAGACACACAGGGAUGGGCUUGUUUAUCAUCCUGGAGACUACAGAGAAACUUAGAAGCACAAAGAGUCACUUUAG
RNAcentral lists this long non-coding RNA (293 nucleotides) under Cricetulus griseus (Chinese hamster). RNAcentral's name for it is "lncRNA (ENSCGRG00015033864.1)". Lineage: Eukaryota; Metazoa; Chordata; Mammalia; Rodentia; Cricetidae. The record is from RNAcentral.